Molecule: ribosomal RNA, 269 nt
Filed under: Aporrectodea longa
Lineage: Eukaryota; Metazoa; Annelida; Clitellata; Crassiclitellata; Lumbricidae
Description: partial 12S ribosomal RNA
Source: RNAcentral
GUAAGCACACCUCUAAAAGUGUAAGUAUGCAAUUAUGACAACUCAUAUACGUCAGGUCAAAGUGCAGCUUAUGGGAGGGAGAUGAUGGGUUACACCCUAAAUAAAGACACGGAAUAUAGCACCAAAAGCUACAUGAAGGUGGACUUGGACGUAACAAAAAUACAAAAUCAAAAUGAAGACGAAUCUGAGACAUGCACACAUCGCCCGUCACUCUUGCCCAAAGGCGAGAUAAGUCGUAACAAAGUAGGUGUAACGGAAGUUGCACCUGU